Molecule: unclassified non-coding RNA, 1336 nt
Filed under: Hevea brasiliensis (rubber tree)
Lineage: Eukaryota; Viridiplantae; Streptophyta; Magnoliopsida; Malpighiales; Euphorbiaceae
Source: RNAcentral
AAUUCAUGCGCCGGUCACGACUUGAGUUUUUGGGUCGUGACAAGUGGUGGUGGUGGAAGGUUGCAGUGGUGGUGGUGGUGGUGGAGUGGCAGUGGGGGCAGUGGUAGAUAGUGGUAGUAGUUACUGUAAAGAAAAUUUAAUAAAUAGAUAAAUGAUGUAAAAUUUUUUUAAUGGGUACCCAUAUGCAAAUCAACCCACUCAUAUAAUAUGAGGUUUAAUGUUUAUCACCCAUUUAUGACCCAUACCCAUAUAAUGUAGGUGAAUUAGGAUGGAUAAAUGGGUAUGGGUGACGAUUGCCAUUCCUAGAUAUGGCUUUAGGAUAUAUUACUAACUUUUAUUAAUUAGGACAACCUUGCUCCACACUGUUUUUUGGGUGAUCUACUUUCCGUCUCUACAGGUUUAUUCCUUAUUUUUGUUGGUGGAAUUAUUGAAGGUCAUGUGGCUUCUAAGCGAAGCAAGGGAAGUCAUUUCGUGGGUGCCAAAUUUUGAUAGAGUUAAGAACUUGUCAAUGGAAGAAACUGGAAAAUGAGAUGAAGGAAUGGGCCAGUAAUGCAAAUGAAAUAGAAGAGUUUCUAUAACCACUUUUAGAGCAGAGAAAGCAAUACAACCAGGGAAUACAUCCUCUGGCCCAACAGUCGCUACUAGAUAUCAACAAAUAAUACUCAUCUACAAUAAUCCUCCCUCCAUUAUAGGUUUUUUUCCCCUCCUAUUCUGGAUGACGCCAGCCUGCUACCCAUGUGCCUUCUCCAGCUCAUCUCUUCUAGAAGUUUCCUCUUCCCAGCUCACUAUUCCUUCUAGAAGGUUCUCUUGUGGAACCUUCUGGAGCUUCUCCCUUUCCUUUGAGCCUGCACCUAGUGUAGUCCCUCGAUAUCCCUUGGCCUUGCUGGAAUCAGCUUCCCUAUCAAAAUUUCUCUACAAUUUGAUGACAUUUAAGCCAUGGGUACAUAUUGAUAAAUUAUGAGAAGCUAUGCAUCUUCGGAAUUAACAUUAUGAUUUGGUGCUUAAAUUAAAUGUCCUGAAGCUCUACAAGCCUGUUUAUUUGCUUCUUUAUUUAGAUAAAUUUAAAUGACUUGCAAAUGAGAUACACGACCUGAUGAAGUGAUAAUUGGUAUUGGAAGUUGUAUUUGCAUUACUGCUAAAGUUUGACGUGAUGGAGUUAGAUUGUUACUUCUAUGCCCAAUGAAGCUAGAUUGUCAUUUAUGUGGCAGCAGAUAACUAUUUUUCAGCAUAUUACGUGUCAUUGUGGAACAAGAGGGAAGAAACCAUUGUAUUUUGGCAUGUUCAAAUUAUUUGUUGUGCCCUUUCUUUCAUUUUCAUAUUGCUGACUUUCUAAUGA